RNA transcript from Colletes gigas, 1677 nucleotides. It is a transcript of the gene named 2-oxoisovalerate dehydrogenase subunit beta, mitochondrial, with no coding region annotated. NCBI's taxonomy places the organism in Eukaryota, Metazoa, Arthropoda, Insecta, Hymenoptera, Colletidae. The transcript has 9 exons. The record is from RefSeq and is a predicted model, not a curated record.
AGCGACAUUUAUCCACGAUGAUAUUCAGUAAAUUGUGUGCUCGGCUCCUGAACGCUCGUGCGUCUCUAGGUUUCAAUACUGUGGAUAGAUUUGUGCAACGUGAAAAUGUCAGGUGUAUACACUUUACGUAUUACAAGGAUAAAAACACGAAUACAUCCGGUGAGACUGAAAACAUGAAUAUGUAUCAAGCAAUAAAUCAAGGACUCCGAAGCGCGUUAACGAACGAUCCCGAUGCAGUGAUAUUUGGCGAAGACGUGGCAUUUGGCGGUGUCUUUCGUUGCACGGUUGAUCUUCAAAAAGAAUUUGGCAAGGAUCGCGUGUUCAAUACGCCGCUCUGCGAACAAGGAAUCGCUGGAUUUGGGAUUGGUUUAGCUACUGCUGGUGUAACAGCGAUCGCAGAAAUCCAAUUCGCGGAUUACAUAUUCCCUGCUUUCGAUCAGCUGGUAAACGAAGCUGCCAAGGUAAGAUAUCGAAGCGGCGGUGAAUUCGACUGUGGAAAGCUAACAAUUCGAACACCGUGUGGAGCUGUUGGUCAUGGAGGACUUUAUCAUUCUCAAAGUCCAGAAGCAUAUUUCGCGCAUACGCCAGGUUUGAAGAUCGUCGUGCCCCGCGGAGCGAGACAGGCGAAAGGUCUUUUGUUGAGCUGCAUAGAGGAGCCGGAUCCUUGCAUCAUGUUCGAGCCGAAAAUAUUGUACCGCACGGCGAUCGACGAUGUGCCGACGGCUCGUUACACGAUCGAGAUCGGCAAGGCUGAGGUUGUGAGGGAAGGUGACGCGGUGACACUCGUGGGUUGGGGAACUCAGGUGCACGUACUGCUGGAGGUGGCCGAUCUCGUCCAAGAGAAGCUCGGCGUAUCCUGCGAGGUGAUAGACCUCGUUUCUAUCCUACCUUGGGACGCGGAACUCGUUUGCAAGUCUGCGAAGAAAACGGGCCGAAUCGUAAUAGCGCACGAAGCACCGCUGACGAGUGGAUUUGGAGCAGAAAUAGCCUCGACCAUUCAGGAGGAAUGUUUCCUGCAUCUGGAAGCACCGAUACAGAGGGUGACGGGUUGGGACAGCCCUUUUCCGCACGUCUUCGAGCCGUUUUAUUUGCCCGAUAAAUGGCGAUGCUUCGCGGCUGUCAGAGACAUCCUGAACUACUGAAAUUCAGAGAGGAAUAUUCUACUUGCGAGAUGGAAUAGCCACGAAUGAUUUUUAUGUAGAGACAGACAUUUUGUUCAUUCUUGCUCGUGAGCACCGGAACAGUGGGAUACGACGGAAACCUGUUGCCUAUGCGGACACCCACGCCAGAGGAGCACGUCGAACACCGCAUCGAUUUUUGGCAUUUUCGAUAUAGCAUCGCCGAGUCACGUGCUCGAGGACCGGUCCAGGGACUCCCAUAUCAUGGACUCCGCCAUUUUUCGAAUAAUUAUUAAUGUUAGAAUCUUGGAAUCUUUUUUAUACUAAUAUCACAAGAGAAUUGUAAUCUUAAGGUCGUCUUUCAUUGUCCACUGUACGUGUAUUCUUCAAAUAAAAUGCAUAUAUGUAAUUAUUACUAUUAAGAAGAAGUAGAUACCGAUGAGUUUGAGGAAUUAGGACUUGGGGUACCAAACUAAUAUAUUUGUUUGUAACAAGUCAGACAAUACCACAACUAACAGUUUUCUAUCUUUUCCAGUUCACGACCCUACCUUCUUGUUCC